This is a long non-coding RNA of Papaver somniferum (opium poppy), 1195 nucleotides long. RefSeq lists it as uncharacterized. NCBI's taxonomy places the organism in Eukaryota, Viridiplantae, Streptophyta, Magnoliopsida, Ranunculales, Papaveraceae. The record is from RefSeq and is a predicted model, not a curated record. The transcript has 2 exons.
UCUCUUCGUCUCUUCUUUCUUCUUCUUGUUCUUCUCUGUUCUUUCUCUCUCCCUCUCUGUUAAUUCCGAGCUCAGAGAUUUGAGCCUCUUCUGUCGAGAAAUUCUUAUAAGCCUUGUUAGCUUGAUGAACUGGGUUAGGAGAUGGUGACAUGAUGUCGUUUGAAUUUUGGAAGAAGCAGAAAGUUAGGGUUUGAGUAAUAUUUGAGUUAGGGUUUCAAUUGAGGAUCAAAGAAGAAUUAGAAAGUGAAGAUGAUGGUUUAGGGGAUUGAAUUAAGUUGGGUUUGUCUCGAAUUUAAGAUUUAGGGUUGAUGUUGAAGAUGAGAUUGAUGGUAUGGAAUUAGGGUUUUGUAAAUUGAAUUGGAGUAAGGAUUAAGGAGAGUUAGACAGAAUUACAAGAUGUGUUUGCUUAACUGAAGAUUUUGAUUGAUGUGUUGAGAUUGAAUUCGAGAUUGAAGAUAAUUAGAGAUUUUGUUCUUCCCCAAAUGGAUUUAGGGUUUCAGUAGAUUUGGAUUGGGAGAAAAGCAAUUCAGUGGGUGCUGAUACUUGGUGAGUUUAGAUGAAUGUUGGGUUUGCUGUAGAUGAUGAUGAAGAUGAUUAUAAUUGAGAUGUUGCUGGUUUGAGUUGUCUGAAUAACAUAAGAUUAGUUGCGACUCUUAAAUGGAAUCUGGGAUAUUGUUGAUGUUGCGUUAUUAUAGAGUGCAGGAAAGUUUAUGAAAUAGAGUGGUCGAAUUGUUGUUGAGACUUAGCUAAGAUGUGGCGGUUGAAAUGGGACGAAGAUAAGAGUAUGUUAUGGGUGAGCUUGUGUUGCUGGUGAGCUGAUAGUGUAGGUGAAGGCUGCAGUCUGGAUGUGAUAUGUAACUAAGAAGAAAAGUAUCAAACUUAGAAGAAGAAUUGAAAUGAGAUUAAGUCAGGGUGUGUGUGGAAUUGAAGCUGAAGAAUGGAAAUGAGGAUGGCAUUAUGAUUGUUGCUUAGGGUUGUAACUGCAAGGGGUGUUGGUUAAUGAGAAUAAGGAGUAGAGAUGAUAUUGGGACUGAAUUAUGUACAGAUUGGAGUGGACGGGUAAUGGAGGUUUAUAGAUAUCACUGGGUUAAGUUGAAAUUGUAAGUAAUUGAUCUGAUGGAGAUUCAGAUUGAAUAUGCAGUGUUGUCUGUAUUGAAUUUAGAUGAAUUGAAGUUGUAUUUGAGUUUCUGUUUUA